GACCAGACUCCUACGGGAGGCAGCAGUGAGGAAUAUUGGACAAUGGGCGCAAGCCUGAUCCAGCCAUGCCGCGUGCAGGAAGACGGUCCUAUGGAUUGUAAACUGCUUUUAUACAGGAAGAAACACUCCCUCGUGAGGGAGCUUGACGGUACUGUAGGAAUAAGGAUCGGCUAACUCCGUGCCAGCAGCCGCGGUAAUACGGAGGAUCCAAGCGUUAUCCGGAAUCAUUGGGUUUAAAGGGUCCGUAGGCGGCCUUAUAAGUCAGUGGUGAAAUCUCCUAGCUCAACUAGGAAACUGCCAUUGAAACUGUAGGGCUUGAAUUAUUAGGAAGUAACUAGAAUAUGUAGUGUAGCGGUGAAAUGCUUAGAUAUUACAUGGAAUACCAAUUGCGAAGGCAGGUUACUACUAAUGGAUUGACGCUGAUGGACGAAAGCGUGGGUAGCGAACAGGAUUAGAUACCCUGGUAGUCCACGCCGUAAACGAUGGAUACUAGCUGUUCGGAGCAAUCUGAGUGGCUAAGCGAAAGUGAUAAGUAUCCCACCUGGGGAGUACGUUCGCAAGAAUGAAACUCAAAGGAAUUGACGGGGGCCCGCACAAGCGGUGGAGCAUGUGGUUUAAUUCGAUGAUACGCGAGGAACCUUACCAAGGCUUAAAUGUAGAUUGACCGGUUUGGAAACAGACUUUUCGCAAGACAAUUUACAAGGUGCUGCAUGGCUGUCGUCAGCUCGUG
This 730-nucleotide ribosomal RNA is filed under the name uncultured bacterium. Its description in RNAcentral is "bacterial SSU rRNA". It matches the Rfam family "Bacterial small subunit ribosomal RNA", at positions 329 to 1064 of the family's 1533-position model. The record is from RNAcentral.